ACGAGCGAUAGCUCAGCUGGUAGAGCAUCUGUCCAGUAUGCGGGGGGUCGCCGGUUCGAAUCCGGCUCGCGGCGUC
Molecule: transfer RNA, 76 nt
Filed under: Fasciola gigantica
Lineage: Eukaryota; Metazoa; Platyhelminthes; Trematoda; Plagiorchiida; Fasciolidae
Description: tRNA-Thr
Rfam family: tRNA (bases 5-70)
About the family: Transfer RNA (tRNA) molecules are approximately 80 nucleotides in length.
Source: RNAcentral